Molecule: long non-coding RNA, 7555 nt
Filed under: Zea mays
Lineage: Eukaryota; Viridiplantae; Streptophyta; Magnoliopsida; Poales; Poaceae
Description: long non-coding RNA (ZMAY_LNC004963)
Source: RNAcentral
UGGAUUCGAAAGAAAAUGAAUUAGUCUUCAGAUGUGUAUGGGCUGUUACCAGAAGUUAGGCAACGAGCAAAAUCAAUGCCCAAAAUUGUCUAGCAAAUCUUCCAUAGAAAUCUCACUACCUUUCUAAGUAGGUGGGCAAUGUCAAUGAUGUUGUGAGUCACCUGGUCUUUAGAUAGGUGUUUCUUUCCUCAUAGAGGGGGGUUUUCAAUUGUAAAUGUACUAGUUCCAGGCGAAUGUAUCUUUUAUGUUUAAAGGGUUGCCAUUCUUACACCAAAUGCCCUUUGGUGAUGCCUAAUGUGAUUAUCUUUUGUGUUUAUUAGCUGAUAUGAAACAUAAGGCUAGGGGUCAGUGCAGUCUUGAAGGUAAGAAGCUCGAGCUCACUAGAAAACAAGCUCAUUUGUAGGGAUUGUAACCUGUACGGCUUUUGUAACCCGCUGAUUUUAUAUUUUGAUUACGGAUCUGAAGAAGUUAUAAGAAGGAAUACAUUAUGUUUGGGGUGGUGCAAGUUACCUGGAAGUGAGCAUUUUUUAUACUGUACAUGAGAAAAGUUAUGGGCCAUGAGAGUAGCAUGGAAUUGUGCUAUAUGGUUGUGAGUUAUGCCAUUAUCUUCAUUUCUGGGUCUAGAAAUUUCUGAAAUGAGCACCAAGAGAUGCCAGUACAGUGAUAUGGAAACCAUUGAAUUGCUGGGUUUGAAGAUUUCACAUGAACACUUUGUCAUCUCAUCAAACUUAGUUGUUGGACGUUCAUAGUUUGUGUCUGCAAAGCCUCUUUGAUAUUAGUGAUGUGUGUGAUCUAACUAGAAAAUUUGAUCUGGCAUGAAUGAACUGUUCCUGUGAACCAAUCACUUACCUGUCAAGCACGAGAAAGCUUUGCUAGACCUAAUCUCAGCAAUCUCUUACAUUUUGUUCAUUGUGGCACAAUUUUAGCAUGUUCUUACUGUUGUUGAGCAAACCAUACGAUACGACUAUAAAAUCCUUGGAAACAUGGAUGCUUUAGUUGCACCUUUAACUGUUUAAGUUGUGUUUUUAUGGCCCCUUUGAAAUGAAGGAAAAUUUCACCGCUUCCUAUGUUUUUCCUAUGAAAAUGAACUGAUCGCUGUGGAAUUCGUACACGAUUUCUAUGAAAUUCCUGCGGAGGUGUGUGUGUAUAAGUUGUGCUGUUUUCUGUUAUUUAUACAGGUGUGAAUGAUUUUAUAUAUAAUUCUCUAGUUGAUUGUAUUGUUUGUUGGAAUUUUGUUGAGAUUUUAUGUUUCAUUCGCAUUUAAGUUGUCCUGGCCUAGAAUGCUUCUUAAUUUCUUUUCAUUGCCUUGAAAUAGUUGGAGAAUGGAAACCUAACCCUAACUCAGAGUUGGGAGAUGUAUUAAUAGACCCAGGUUGUUGGGCCUGGUCCAUUACGCAGGGGUAUAACUGUAAUUACAAGGGGCUAACCCCAAAACCCUAAACAGGUACUCUAACACCCCCUUAGUCUCCACUCUACCGUGUACAUAUGUUGAGACUUGAUCAAAAAAUUGGUUAAUACACUCGACGGUAACCCCUUGGUUAAGAUGUCGACGAACUGCAGCGUGGUGGGGACACUGAGAACCCGAAUGUCACUGAAAGCGACAUGCUCACAGACAAAGUGCAGGUCGAUCUCCACGUGCUUCUUGCGCUGAUGCUGCACGGGAUUGGUGGAGAGGUAGACCGCGAUGACGUUGUCGCAGUAGACGAGGGUGGCACGCUGAAGGAGACUUUGGAGGUCCUCGAGAAGCUGGCGCAGCUAGCAGGCCUCUGCCACGCCGUUGGUCACAGCGCGGUACUCAGCCUCCGCGCUGGAGCGGGAGACGACGGGCUACCGCUUGGCGGCCCAGGAGACGAGGUUGGCGCCCAAGAACACGACAUAACCAGAAGUGAAUCGACGUGUGUCGGGACAGCCAACCCAGUUAGUGUCGGUGUAGACCACGAGCUCCGACGUCGGGGAGGGUUGGAGUAGAAGGCCGUAGUCGAGGGAGCCGCGAAGGUAGCGUAGGAUCCGCUUGAGAGCGGUGAGAUGGUGCUCCCGCGGGGUGUGCAUAUGCAUGCACACCAGUUGGACGGCGAAGGCGAUUUCGGGCCUGGAGAAGGCAGGUACUGGAGUGCGUCGGUCAGGAUCCGGUAGGACGUCGUGUCGGCGACAGAGGGCCCUGUCGUCCUCAGAGAGCUUCGCCUGAGUGUCGACAAGCGUGGAGCAGGGCAUGCAGUCGCACAUGCCAGCCCACUCCUGGAUGUCGAUGGCGUACUGGCACUGGUGGAGGAAGAGACCCUGAGGCCGGUGCUCGGCGGUGAUGCCGAGAAAGUGGUGAAGGGGUCCCAAGUCCUUCAUCGCGAACUCCCGCUGAAGGUUGACGAUUGUGCGCUGUAGAAGGUCGAUGGUGGAUGCUGUGAGCUCAAUGUCGUCGACAUAGAGCAGAAGGUAGACGGUGUCGUCGCCGCGCCGGUAGAUGAAGAGGGACUUGUCCAUCUUGGCUUCGACGAAGCCGAUGGAGGCCAAGUAGGAGGCGAAGCGACUGUACCAAGCCCACGGCGCCAGCUUGAGGCCGUAUAGGGAGCGAUUCAGCCACCAGACCAGAUCCGGACGAGCAGCGUCGACGAAGUCGGUGGGCUGGCUGCAGUAGACAGUCUAUGUCAGAGUGCUGUGGAGGAAGGCAUUCUUGAUGUCGAGUUGAUGGAUCACCUAGUUCCGGGAGAGGGCGAGGGAGAGGACGGCUUGAACAGUGGCGUACUUGAUGACGAGCUAAAGGUCUCGUCGUAGUCCACUCCGAGGCGCUAGGUGAAGCCUCGAAGGACCCAACGAACCUUGUAGCGGUCGAGGGAGCUAUCCGAGGUCAGCUUGUGGCGAAAGAGCCACUUGCCAGUGACCACGUUGGUGCCUAGUGGACGCGGCACCAUGUCCUAGGUGUGGCUGGCUAGCAGGGCCGCGUACUCCUCCAUAGUGUGACGCCAGUGGGGGUCGGCGAGGGCGGCGCGAAUGGAGGAGGGGACCGGGGAGGCGUCCGGAGGAGUGUCAGCGGCCAGGAUCAGUCGGUUGAUAGGGCGGAGAAUGCUGAUUGCGCGGUGAGUCACCAUCGGGUCGCGGUGGAUGGUGACCGGGUGGUACACAUGAGGUUUGGUGCGGGCCGACGAGGUGUCGGGAGUCGAGGGAGUGGCUUGCUUGCGGCGGUGGUAGACGAAGGCGGGGUCGGUGAAGCGAGCCACGCUCGUCGACGGGGCCGGGUUAGCAGGAGCCGAGGGAGUGGCCCGCUCGCGGAGUGGUAGACCAGGGUGGGGUUGGCGAAGCAGACCGCUCUCAUCGACGGGGCCGCGCAUGGUGUGGGAGGGGUUGACCGAGCCGCGCACGACGCAGACGUGGUCGAUGGGGCCUCGCGGGGCGCAGGUUUGGUCGACGGGGCCACACGGGGUGCAGGCAGGGUGAACGGAACCGCGUGUGAUGUGGGUAGAGGCGCGAGCGGAGGCGUCGAGGUCGCGCGUGGCGCGGGCAAUGGCGCAAGGUGAGGCGCCUAGGGUGGAGGGGAACAGGAUUGGACUCGAGGAGAGUCGAGAUCGGUGGGUUGGGAGGAGCUAGCAAGGGGAACACAUCUUCGUCGAAAAUAACGUGACGAGAGAUGAGUAUGCGGUGGGAGACGAGGUCAAGACAACGAACCCCUUGUGGUUAGAGGAGUAACCGAGGAAGAGGCAACAAGUAGAGCGGGGAGAUAGCUUAUGGGGAGCGAUGGCGGACGUGUUAGGAUAGCAGGCACAACCGAACACACGAAGGUGGUCGUAGGAGGGGGCUGUGCCAUAUAGAGCGAAGUGGGGAGUGGGGUGGCUCACCGCCUUCGAGGGGAGGCGGUUGAGGACAUGUGUGGCGGUGUUCAGGGCCUCUGCCCAGUAGCUGGCAGGGAGAGACGCUUGAAAGAGAACGCAAUGGAUCAUGUUGGUGGUGGUGUGAAUGAUGCGUUUGGCCCAUCCGUUCUGGGGAGAGUUGUAGGGGCACGAGAGACACAUCUGAACGCCAUGAGUGAGCAAGGAGCGAGAGGCGUUGUUGUUGAACUCGUGACCAUUGUCACACUGGAGGGCACGGACCGGGCAACGGAACUGGGUGGAGACCUAGGCAAAGAAGUCUAGAGAUCACAAUGGACAAGAUCAAAUGACUGAGCUACCUUGGACGUGGAAGUGGAAAAAGGAAGACGAGAGUGACGGUCGAGCUGACAAGCAUGACAGAGGCGCUCAGAGGAGCCCUGGGUAUAGGAGAUAUCUGAGCGACUGGAAACUAGGGCAUCGCGUCAGGUCCAGGAUGCCUGAGACGACGAUGCCAAACGACGGAGGUGGUGGUAGUAGCAAGAGCCUGGGGGUGACUACGCUGGUGGGGGAAGUGGAGGGUAAGUGAAUAGAGUAGAGGGGCCCGGAGCUGUCACAACAAGCAUGCACGACACACGUCGGAAGGUGGCGUAUGGUGAGCCCCCAGGGAUCGAACUCCAUAGAACAGUUGUUGUCACUCGUGAAGCGACGAACCAAGAGAAGGGGAUGAGUCAGACUGGGAGCGACAAGGACGUCGUUAAGGUAGAGUGGUCCUGGAAGAAUCGAUGCACCUACUAAGGUGAUCGGGAGGGUGGAACUGUUUCCACAACGAUAGAGGGAGAAUGUGAGGGGUAUGGAGGGUGGGAGUGGAAUAACGAGCUAGUGGUGGGAGUGGUGUGGAAGGAGGCUCCCAUUCGGUGGGAGAGCAUGAGGGUGGUGAAGCCAUGGGGUGCGCGGAAAGAGCCAGGGGAGGUGCUCUAACAAAGUCACGAGUAGGGGAGGGAGACAAGAAGGACGAAGGACAGGGCUCAUGGCACGAUCGAAGGCCAUGAAGGUGCCCCGAACAAGCUGGUUGUCUUGGAGGAGGAUGCGCACAGCGAUCCCGGCGGAAAUGGGCGAAGCCAAGAAAGAGGUGUCACCGGCGGCCAGGGCCAGGGCGGGGCCUGUGGAGGCGGUGCCAGGUGGGAGGGGCGGCACAGCCAGUGUGUCGUUGUACAAGUGGGGGAUGAAGGAGCAAGGUGCCUAUGUGUGGUAGCUGGCGCUGUCUGGGGUUGCAAGGCGGCCGGAGCGACGGCUGCGCCAGCGACGAAGGUGGGGGCGAACCAAGCUGGGAGGACAUCUGCGUGCGCGUGGGGGCGGCCUGGAGCAAGGGUGGUGGCUACGACCAGUGUCAUGGAGGAACGAUGGGGAAGAGAGCUGGAUAGGGGGGUUGGACACAGCCCAGCGACCAGGGGAGGGGCUCCCGCCACUGGCGAAGAAGAGGGCAAGCCGUGGGCGGGUCGGAGAUAGCGUCGGGUGACACUCACCGUGGUCGAGCCCGGAGCAUGGAUCCUGCCGAGGAAGAGGCGCCCGAUGCCGGCCAUGGGGUGGCAGCGGCGUGACCUGAGGUGGAGGGGAAGGGGUGGCCGGGUGCGGGCGCAUGCUUGACCACUGAGGCGGCGGCGACUCCUGUCCAGUGGACUGGUUUGCGCCAGGAGGUGGCCGGCGGCGUGAACUGCUGGUGGUGAUAGUAAGAGGGGGGGGGGGUGGCUGGCGGCCAGAGGAGGGAGGCUAGCAGCGUUCAAGGGUGGGAGGGAGGAAAGUAGAGGAAAGAAUCUAGACCUAGCUCUUGUACCAAGUUGGAGAAUGGAAACCCUAACUCAGGGUUGGGAGAUGUAUUAACAGGCUCAGGUUGUUGGGCUUGGCCUAUUACACAGGGGUAUAACUGUAAUUAUAAGGGGCUAACCCUAAACCCUAAACGAGUACUCUAACAGAAAUAUCUAGCUAUUGGUGUUUGGGCUAAUAAAGAGAUAAACUGUUUACCUAUGAUUCAUUUAUACUCUCUCUGGUUUACUAUUGUUUUGGACAUGGAAUGAUCUUUUGAAUAGCCUUUUCCAAAUUAGCAUUUUACCGAAGUUUUACAUGUAAAAUGAUUUAAUGUGCUUAUGUCUCAUGAUAUAUUUACUACUCCCUACGUUCUAAAAUAUUAGUCGUUGUAGCCCUUAAAUUUUAUGUCUAUAUUCAAAUGGAUGUCAAUGUAUGUAGACAUAUAUAAGAUACAUAUAUUAAAUAUUGUAUGAAUCUAUCAAAAUGUUAAAACGACUAAUAUUUUGAAACGGAGUGAGUAUUUUUCAUGUAAUGGUAAACAAGAGAAUUUUGAAUGCCAUUUCAACGGAACAAGUAAAUUGUGCUUAUACCCCAUACUACAUUGUUGUCGCAACUCUUGAAUUAGAGGAAUGCAUUCUUCUAUGUUUGACCGAUAUUGGCAACCUAGUUCACUUGAAAUUAUAGAAGUAUUUACCUAGGACUGUUAGGUUAUGGGGCUCUUGUGUGGCCGUGUUUUAUGAGCCUGGAGUUUGUUAGGUUUGACUCAAAUCACUCCUUCCAUUAGAAUGAAUGUUUUACUGAGUCAAACUUCUCUAACCUCGAUCACACAAGAAUGCACCAGCAUUAAAACAUCAAUUAGUUUUGUUAAGUCUCCAUGGAACAUGUCUUCAACAGCUAUCCUAUACUAUCCCCUAUUUCAAACUUCAUACUGAAUAUAUAAUACAUUUUUUUAUAACAUGGUCUAAGUUAAAUGCUAAUGUAUUGUAUAAGUUUGAUGAUGUGUAAGGUUGUCCGCAGCAGAUUGUGUAAAAUAGAGGAUUUGCACUCUAUUUGCAAAGUGAAGUUUGAAAUAGAGGAUAAUAUAGGAUAGUUGUUGGAGACAGCCUAACUAUGUUUCCGGAGGUUGGUUGUUACACACUUUUUCCUUUGUGAUGCCAGAUAAAAUGUUGUGUCUGUACUUUAUCUUGCUUCUCAGAUGUUAAAGUUAUACAUGAAAGAAUGAAAUUUGGCGGGACCAUUAUUUUUUUCUUUCUCAAAAUUGGCCAGUCCUAUUUAGGAAUUGGUUCCAAACAUAAUGUUGUACUUCUUCAGUAAUGUUUUGAGAGUUCAUUCGUGGUCGUAAUCGUUUCUCGCCCUUGCCUAGUGUUGUCAAUCUUGGGUUACAUGUUACAAAUUUACAUGUAAUGUAAUGCUCUUCCUUUUAACAUUUUGCGGAACUACUAAUCAUUUCUUUGUUUCUUGCUUUUGAAUUAUUAUUAUUGUUGCAGGGGCACGCAAGGUUCGUUCCAUGACCGAGGGCUGAGGUGAACGCAAGUCCGGUGUCGCCAGUUGCAAACUUGCAACACUGUUGCUUUAGACUGCCAUGUUGAAUAAUACUUCUAGCAAAAGAUACGCCAAUCACAGUUUACAUGUGGGUUGCGCCAUGAUUGUAUUGUUACGGGUGUUCGGUGAACCCCAACAGUUAUGCCGAUACAAAGACGAGACGCAACAAUAGAACUGUUAAUAAAGGACAAUGGGCUUGUUUCAGCUUGGCUUCUCACUCUGUUUUUUGAUAAUCGUUUCUAUAAAAAUCGUCCAAAUCACUUCUCAGUCGUUAGACGGGAGGAAUUUAUCGUUUUUUAUACACUAAAUCGUGUAGACGUUUUCACCAUCAUAUGGUUUGCGAUAUUUAGAUUCUUAUGGUAGCUAGAUUAUUCAGAAAUCUAGAUUUUUAGAAGUCUUCAGAAAAAAACUGCCCC